UACGGAGGGUGCAAGCGUUAUCCGGAUUUACUGGGUUUAAAGGGCGCGCAGGCGGGCUGAUAAGUCAGUGGUGAAAUCCCCGAGCUUAACUUGGGAACUGCCAUUGAUACUAUUAGUCUUGAAUGUUGUGGAGGUAAGCGGAAUAUGUCAUGUAGCGGUGAAAUGCAUAGAUAUGACAUAGAACACCUAUUGCGAAGGCAGCUUACUACGCAAAUAUUGACGCUGAGGCUCGAAAGCGUGGGGAUCAAAC
Molecule: ribosomal RNA, 250 nt
Filed under: uncultured bacterium
Lineage: Bacteria
Description: partial 16S ribosomal RNA
Rfam family: Bacterial small subunit ribosomal RNA
Source: RNAcentral